GGCGAGUGGCGAACGGGUGAGUAAUACAUCGGAACGUGUCCUGGAGUGGGGGAUAGCCCGGCGAAAGCCGGAUUAAUACCGCAUACGCUCUGUGGAGGAAAGCGGGGGAUCUUUCGGGACCUCGCGCUCAAGGGGCGGCCGAUGGCAGAUUAGGUAGUUGGUGGGGUAAAGGCCUACCAAGCCGACGAUCUGUAGCUGGUCUGAGAGGACGACCAGCCACACUGGGACUGAGACACGGCCCAGACUCCUACGGGAGGCAGCAGUGGGGAAUUUUGGACAAUGGGCGCAAGCCUGAUCCAGCAAUGCCGCGUGUGUGAAGAAGGCCUUCGGGUUGUAAAGCACUUUUGUCCGGAAAGAAAACCUCUGGGUUAAUACCCUGGGGGGAUGACGGUACCGGAAGAAUAAGCACCGGCUAACUACGUGCCAGCAGCCGCGGUAAUACGUAGGGUGCGAGCGUUAAUCGGAAUUACUGGGCGUAAAGCGUGCGCAGGCGGUGAUGUAAGACCGAUGUGAAAUCCCCGGGCUUAACCUGGGAACUGCAUUGGUGACUGCAUCGCUCGAGUAUGGCAGAGGGGGGUAGAAUUCACGUGUAGCAGUGAAAUGCGUAGAGAUGUGGAGGAAUACCGAUGGCG
Molecule: ribosomal RNA, 632 nt
Filed under: Burkholderia sp. Mi279
Lineage: Bacteria; Pseudomonadati; Pseudomonadota; Betaproteobacteria; Burkholderiales; Burkholderiaceae
Description: bacterial SSU rRNA
Rfam family: Bacterial small subunit ribosomal RNA
Source: RNAcentral